CCUACGGGAGGCAGCAGUGAGGAAUAUUGGUCAAUGGGCGAAAGCCUGAUCCAGCCAAGUAGCGUGAAUGAUGAAUGCCCUAUGGUUGUUAAACUUCUUUUAUAUGGGACUAAAUCGUUGCACGUGUCUGAUUUUGUAUGUACCCUAUGAAUAAGGAUCGGCUAACCUCGUACCAGCAGCCCCGGUAAUACGGUGGAUCCGCGCGUUAUCCGGAUUUAUUUGGUUUAGAGGGUGCGUAGGGGGAUUGUUAAGUCAGGUGUGAAAGUUUGCGGCUCAACCGUAGAAUUGCAGUUGAAACUGGUAGACUUGAGUACAGUAGAGGUGGGCGGAAUGCGGGGUGUAGCGGUGAAAUGCAUAGAUAGCACGAAGAACACCGAUUGCGAAGGCAGCCUACUGGACUGAAACUGACACUGAGGCUCGAAAGUGUGGGUAUCAAACAGGAUUAGAUACCCUAGUAGUC
This 460-nucleotide ribosomal RNA is filed under the name uncultured bacterium. RNAcentral's name for it is "partial 16S ribosomal RNA". It matches the Rfam family "Bacterial small subunit ribosomal RNA", at positions 338 to 795 of the family's 1533-position model. The record is from RNAcentral.